AGUUGUCUGCGCGUUGGACUCGCAAUCUGAAGGUCACGUGUGGGUUAGAGUCCUAUACC
RNAcentral lists this transfer RNA (59 nucleotides) under uncultured Symbiodinium. RNAcentral's name for it is "partial tRNA". The record is from RNAcentral. Lineage: Eukaryota; Dinophyceae; Suessiales; Symbiodiniaceae.